This 498-nucleotide ribosomal RNA is filed under the name uncultured bacterium. Its description in RNAcentral is "partial 16S ribosomal RNA". It matches the Rfam family "Bacterial small subunit ribosomal RNA", at positions 28 to 507 of the family's 1533-position model. The record is from RNAcentral.
GACGAACGCUGGCGGCGUGCCUAAUACAUGCAAGUCGAGCGGACGAAUCGAAAGCUUGCUUUUGAUUCGUUAGCGGCGGACGGGUGAGUAACACGUGGGCAACCUGCCCUGUAGACGGGGAUAACACCGAGAAAUCGGUGCUAAUACCGGAUAACACGAAAUGUCGCAUGACGUUUCGUUGAAAGACGGCGCAAGCUGUCGCUACAGGAUGGGCCCGCGGCGCAUUAGCUAGUUGGUGAGGUAACGGCUCACCAAGGCGACGAUGCGUAGCCGACCUGAGAGGGUGAUCGGCUACACUGGGACUGAGACACGGCCCAGACUCCUACGGGAGGCAGCAGUAGGGAAUCUUCCGCAAUGUACGAAAGUCUGACGGAGCAACGCCGCGUGAGCGAAGAAGGCCUUCGGGUCGUAAAGCUCUGUUGUUAGGGAAGAACAAGUAACGCAGUAACUGGCGUUACCGUGACGGUACCUAACGAGAAAGCCACGGCUAACUACGUG